CUACGGGUUGCUGCAGUAGGGAAUAUUGCACAAUGGACGAAAGUCUGAUGCAGCAACGCCGCGUGCACGAAGAAGGCCUUCGGGUUGUAAAGUGCUUUUGGCGGGGAAGAGGAAGGACAGUACCCGCAGAAUAAGCUUCGGCUAACUACGUGCCAGCAGCCGCGGUAACACGUAGGAAGCGAGCGUUAUCCGGAUUUACUGGGCGUAAAGCGCGUGCAGGCGGUUAUGUAAGUUGGAUGUGAAAGCUCCUGGCUUAACUGGGAGAGGUCGUUCAAAACUGCGUAACUGGAGUGCGAAAGAGGGAGGUAGAAUUCCGAGUGUAGUGGUGAAAUGCGUAGAUAUUCGGAGGAAUACCAGAGGCGAAGGCGGCCUCCUGGUUCGCAACUGACGCUGAGACGCGAAAGCUAGGGUAGCAAACGGGAUUAGAUACCCGGGUAGUC
RNAcentral lists this ribosomal RNA (440 nucleotides) under uncultured bacterium. RNAcentral's name for it is "partial 16S ribosomal RNA". It matches the Rfam family "Bacterial small subunit ribosomal RNA", at positions 339 to 795 of the family's 1533-position model. The record is from RNAcentral.